This 2095-nucleotide long non-coding RNA is filed under the name Triticum aestivum (bread wheat). RNAcentral describes it as "long non-coding RNA (TAES_LNC005518)". Lineage: Eukaryota; Viridiplantae; Streptophyta; Magnoliopsida; Poales; Poaceae. The record is from RNAcentral.
CGCAUGUGGCCAUUGGGUUCACCUCUUAAUUCCCUGUCUCCUCUCCUCUCCCGAUCCAUCCAUCCAUAUCUCUCCCAUCUUUCUCUCCGCUCAAGCCCUCGACUACAUCACGGUGCACCGCGCCUCUGCCCCCACCUCCUUCUGCCGCCCGCCCGCGCCUUGCCGCUAGGUUAGGUCACCCACGAACUACCGACGCACCACGCCGCGCCAUCGACCUACGAAUCUACGAUCGCGGAGAAGUUGCAGAUCAUGGGAGAGCGGCCAUGCUCUGCCUAGAGAUGUCAUCUGUGGUGCCAUCUUCUUGCAUCGCCCGUGUGGAAAUUGGUAGGUGGCCGAUUUGGCCUUUCUUUUUGCUCCCGUGGAUUCAAAAUUAAGCUCACCUUCUAUCCUAUUUCUGUUAGUAUUUUUUGAAUUGUCCUAUUUCUAUUAAUGAGUUUCGCGAUUGACAUCUUUGCUGAUUCGCUUGGUACAAAUCAACCAACAACAGAUUGCUCGCCAGAGGCGGAGCUACCUCAAGUUACCAGGAUGCACAGGCAUUAGGGUCGAAAGAAAAUCUUAGUACGGGUUACCAUCUCUAUAGUGUGUGCAGAAGGUAGUAACAAUGACAGUGCAUCAGGUGUAAAAUUGCAAGAGAAAAACACAACCUCGUAAGCUGUGAUAGUGGACAGCAGGUCUGAUCGCUGGUGGGCAAGGCAGGUCUCGGCUCUGUACGACUGAAGGCUUGCUAGGCUAAUUUGAGAAUGAGGGUCACAGCGCGGCAGAACUGGAUCCCUGUCAGGCUAUAAUUGGUACAAGAUUGGCACGUUCGUAACCACAAAAUUCGUUUGAUUUCUCACAAAGUGGCACAUGUUUGCGUGGAUGCUUCAGCUCUCUAUAACCUAGGUGACAGCAAGGCAUCACAUGGCCAAAGCACGGACGCUGCAGCCUGCACUCAAUCCUACAGCGGUCGAGCAUCCGUGCAGCGCCGACCUGCUAAGCUCCACCCGCAAUCCUUGUCAAAAGACAUCACAAAGAACACACCCUAAUCAUAUUAAUGAUUAGUUUAGAAGUUGUUUUUCCGAAGGUGUUUAAUGGCAAAUUUUAACAUGGUCCCUCUUACCUUCUUUUUUACAUGUGAGAUAAGAAGGUAAGAGUCAAUCAAGCCAUUCAUUGAUGAGAUCAACGGCUAAGAUCUAUUUUAUACUCUUACCUCUCAUGUGAAAAGAGGGGGUAAGAGGGACCAUGUUAAAACUGCUCUUAUAUUCAUACAUUUUUUCCUACUUCCCUUCACAAACUUUUCGUGAAGUGGAGAAUCCAGUUUAUUUAAUAUUUUAGUGGAAGAUUUAUUUAUUUAGUCUCUGCCAAAUACAGGUACAUCGGUUUUUUUUUGCGGGGAAAUACAGGUACAUCGUUGAUCACAAAUGGACACAUAUCUUCCCAAACGAAAAGCAACAUCACAAGAAGUCCAACCUCGCACUUUUGAAUUUCCGUAACCAUCGAGAAGAAAAUAGCAGAAGGUUUAUUCCCAGGUUACAUUUAUUAUUUUCACUUCAUAAUUUGAUGUCACAUCUGGUUACUUUACAUGUACUACUAUGCUGGAUUAUAGGUAGGAUGAAUUAUUCUACUACCGUCAACUUUCCCUUACGAGUGGCAUCAAUAAUUGUGAGUGUAUUAACUCAGUAAGAACUUGAUCGUCCCUUAUUUGUUAUCAUAUGGUAGUGUGUCGUUUGUUUUUCUGAAUUUUAUAUGCAAAGAAUUUUUAAAUACCUUACCGUCAGAGGGAUUGAACUAAAUAUGUUUGCACCAUUGUUAAAGUUGUGUACCAGGGUUGAUUUUCUCCAGCUCGGCCCUGUUGAUCGCCACUGCUGUACACGCAACCAGAGCGUCUACCAUGUUGACCGCUAACACCAAUACGCAAGAAGAAACCUUCCCCGGUGGCGGUGAGGAACAUGACGAAGUUGUCGGUGCAUGAGUGUAUCUACGAGGUGAGGCCGGUGGGCUAUAGCUUUGUGGUGAUCUUUUAGCUGUAACUUCGAAGUUUUCUUCCCUUGCAAAAGAAGCGGAGCUGGUAGCCUACAUAUUAUUUUUGUCAAAUAAAAGACAUUUGUUCAUUGUU